Molecule: ribosomal RNA, 810 nt
Filed under: Triticum aestivum (bread wheat)
Lineage: Eukaryota; Viridiplantae; Streptophyta; Magnoliopsida; Poales; Poaceae
Description: partial small subunit ribosomal RNA
Source: RNAcentral
AUGGAGAAGGUGUGGGACUCGGGGCGGUGGGCAGCCAUCGAGCGGCUCCCCACCUACAGCCGCAUGAGGACGUCCAUACUCCAGGCCGAGGCGGCCGAGGCGACCGCCGCCUCGCCAACUAAUGGGGCGGCAGAAGGCAAGAAGCAGUACAAUAGUGCAGGCCAGUGUCAGACACCUCCGACUCUAACCAUGAACCCAGUUUGCUGCACUGCAAAUGCACCACACGACACGAACAUGCAUGCUCUGGUCCCCAACAGCCAACCAGACACGGACACAUAUCAAUCACCAGAUGAGAUGAUGAAUCUAGGGAAAAAAAUUAAGUUAGUGCAGUUUAGACAGAAAGAGGAGUUCGCGAGUUUGAAUCACUUCACAUGCGACUUUGCUGCAGGGGAGCAGAAAGGGAGAAAACCGGGAAAAUGUGUCGGCCCAGCACGGUGGGGGGUUGUCCCCGUUUGCGAGAACCGAAGAAACAGGCGCUUAAGGCGUUGUAUAGGAAAUGCCCACGCAACAAUGAUUAUCCCAGUCGAUAUCAUCAGUCAUCGCUCUCGACGUCAACCACAUUGGAGCCUCCUACAUUCUUCUUCUUUCCCUGUGAGGACGAAGGCCCUGCCUCGUCGUCUUUCUUGGGCAGCCAAAAAAAAUGGCUGUUGUUGGAGAUGCUCUCUAAGAAUGUGCAUCACACAUUGGCGCGUUGCAUUACGGUUCCCAUUUAGAAGAAUGGGCUUGGAUUGGACACGUAUGGGAUCCAUGCUGACAGUGGCUAAGCCAGGCCUCAAGCAGGCCGGGCUGCCGCCUGGGGUGUGGCCUUGA